GAGGAGGCUGGCAGCACACUCACCCGAGCCGUCGCUCCCGCGCACGGGGCCGCAGAGCAGGAAGACGCCUGCGAACAGACAGACAGACAGACGGACGGCGGGUCGGGGCGAGUCGGGACGGAGCACAGCUCCGCGCCUGCCCCGCCGGCCGCGUCGGAGCUGGGGACGCUGAUCUUUGGGAUGAGACCCAAGACAUACUUCCAAGCAUUUCAAAUCCCAGUUUCAGCACUUCCAGUCUGCAGACUCAUCUCUCUGUUCAAUCAAGAAGCCAGAGGUAUUGAUUCCCAUUUCGGGGACACGCAUUUCUUAGAGAAAUACAUAGCUUUCG
Long non-coding RNA from Oxyura jamaicensis (ruddy duck), 328 nucleotides. RefSeq lists it as uncharacterized. The record is from RefSeq and is a predicted model, not a curated record. The transcript is spliced from 2 exons. NCBI's taxonomy places the organism in Eukaryota, Metazoa, Chordata, Aves, Anseriformes, Anatidae.